UGCAUUCCAUCAAGCAAAUCUAUCUGCUUCAAAUAUUGAUCUAUCCAUAUCCACUCCUCCCAAAACUGAACAAUCUACACAUAGAUAACCAUAACAAUCGUUAUAAUCCCUUGAUUCUUCUUGGGGACUUCACGCCAAUAGCUUGACCUAACUUCAGAGGGAUUUUAUCAACUCCUUAUUAACCCCCAGUAGCCCAAGCAUGUACAUAUUGACGCUGGAGCAGGGCUACCAGCCCCCAACCCAACAAUUAUGUCUGGGGACAAAAGACCAUUCGGCAUCAUGGGAGUACUAGCCUUGGAGCCAAGUUAUUUUCCUCUAGUAAGCACCAAACAGGUGUGUGUACUCUGAGGGUUUAGCUCAUUGGAAUUGACCGGAUGAAUGCUGCAAAACAAGAUGCCGGUCUGUUUUAGAAAUAGCCAGCCUGCAAAGGAUCGACAGAUAGCUGGUAUCAGAUAUUUUGUUGACAUUGGGCCUCAUUACACGGUAGGCGGUGAGCCAUGGUGCUAUUAGCGCCAUGGCUCAUGCCGGUAAAAUACCGGCACCACCUUGGCGGAAAGGGGAUUUACCGCCCAUCCCAAGGUUGGAGGGGGCGGUAAAUCCCCCUUCCGCCAUUGCCCUUCCCCAGCCCCAUAGGGCUCAAUGGGAAUGGGGAAGGCGCUAAUUACGGCACCGCAAUUUAGCGGUGCCGUAAUUAGCUCCGAGGUCCCUUAGCGGGUUGGUAUUUAACGCCUGCAAAAACUCCAACCCGCUAAGGGACCUCGUAGUAAAGGCGGCAGGGAUUUACCGGUACCGGUAUUUUACCGGUACCGGUAAAUCCCUACGCCUACCGUGUAAUGAGGCCCAUUGACUAUAUGCCAUUGGAGGGACUCUUUAGUAAAAAAUGAAUUUUGUGCUGCGCUGCUGCCGUCGGCGCCAAAUUCAUUUUACUACAUUGCAAAUAUGUGCCGGCGGCGGGCAGCUUAACAACAUUGCAAGCCGCCGCCGGCCGGCACAUAUUUGCAUGUUAGUAAAAUGAAUUUGGUGCCGACGGCAGCAGCAGCACCAAAUCAUUUUACUAAUUUGCAAAUAUGUGCCGGCGGCGCCGCUUGCAAUGUUGUUAAAUCGCGGUGGCUUAACAACAUUGCAAGCUGCCGCCAGCACAUAUUUACACGUGAGUAAAAUUAAUUUGGUGCUGCGGCUGUCGCGGCGACCGUGGCAUGGUGGUCGACUGGACUGACUUACCUCGAAGUCACUGGCCUGGCUUCCAGUGGGGUGGAUGAUCGUGGAUAGAUCAAUGCCUGCCUGGACACAGCAGCCUCAGAGAAGAGAACCACCGACCACACAUGUUUUCCGCUGCUCGCCGCACGUGCAAUAAUCAAAAUGGAGGCCAACAUGGCGUUGCAGCACGCGGUGGCCACGCCCCCUCCUCCUCUGAUUGGUCAAUGGCCAGAGGUCGCAAGAGAUUGACAGGGUCGCUGGCCAAUAGCCAGCAGUCGCUCUUGCAACCUCUGGCGACCCCCAAAUGACGUCGCUGGCCUCUGCAUGUUGGAACAAUGUAGGUUAGGGAAGUCGUCAAGUCAGAUCUGUUACCUUGGGAUAAGGAUUGGCUCUAAGCACUGGGUCGGUCGGGCUGGGGUGCGAAGCGCAGCAUGCGCCGCAGCUGGACGAGGCAGCUCAUCCCCUGUGGGUGGCGUCGACUCUGGAUGCGAGCCGGGUCCUCUCUGGGAUCGACCCAGCUGUGGUGGUUGCCUCUCUCUCUGUUCCCCUUCCGGGGUUCGGUGCUGACGUUCUGCCUCAGCAAACACCUAGCAGCUGACUUAGAACUGGCGCAGACCAGGGGAAUCUGACUGUUUAAUUAAACAAAGCAUCGCGAAGGCCUGCGGUGGGUGUUGAUGCAAUGUGAUUUCUACCCAGUGCUCUGAAUGUCAAAGUGAAGAAAUUCAAUGAAACGCGGGUAAACGGCGGGAGUAACUAUGACUCCCUUAUGGCAGCCAAAUGCCUUGUCAUCUAAUUAGUGACAUGUAAAAAUGGAUUAACGAGAUUCCCACUGUCCCUACUUACUAGCUAGCGAAACCACAGCCAAGGAACGGGCUUGGCAUCAGUGGGGAAAGAAGACACCAUUGAGCUUGCCUCUAGUCUGGCACUGUGAAAAGACAUGAGAGGUGUAGGAUAAGUGAAAUACCACUACUCUUAUUGUUUUUCACUAACCCGGUGAGGAGGGGGGCGAGCCCCGUGGGGCUCUCACUUCUGGCUCCCGGCACCCGCUGUGCACGACCCGCUCCGGGGACAGUGGCAGGUGGGGAGUUUCACUGGGGCGGUACACCUGUCAAACGAUAACACAGGUGUCCUAAGGUAAGCUCAGGAAGGACAGAUUUUUCAGUAUGAAUACAGACCGUGAAAACGGGGCCUCAUGAUCCUUCUGACUUUUGGUGUUUCAAGCAGAAAGGUGUCAGAAAACUGGCUCGUGUGGCCAAGCAUUAGAAAGAUCAAAAAGAGACGUCGCUAUGAUGUCGGCUCUUCCUAUCAUUGUGAUACACAAUUCACCAAGCAUUGGAUUGGUCACCCACUAAUAGGGAACGUGAGGUGGGGUUAGAUCGGCGUGAGAAAGGUUAGUUUUACCCUACUGAUGAUGUGUUGUUGUAAUAGUACUCCUGCUCAGUACAAGAGGAAACACAGUUUCAGACAUUUGGUGUAUGUGCUUGGCUGAGGAGCCAAUGGGGCGAAGCUACCAUCUGUGGGAUUAUGACUGAGUGCCCCUAAGUCAUAACCCACGUUAAACCGUAACGAUACUGCUGCGCUGUCGAGCCUCGGUUGGCCUAGGAUAGCCAGCCGAUGGGCUGGUCGUAGAGCCGCUCGCCUCGGGAUUCGAGUGGGGACAGAAGUUGGCCACCUCUCUCACCCCCGUAGUGUACCGCAU
Molecule: ribosomal RNA, 2896 nt
Filed under: Ambystoma mexicanum (axolotl)
Lineage: Eukaryota; Metazoa; Chordata; Amphibia; Caudata; Ambystomatidae
Description: eukaryotic LSU rRNA
Rfam family: Eukaryotic large subunit ribosomal RNA (bases 1526-2773)
Source: RNAcentral